Molecule: ribosomal RNA, 327 nt
Filed under: uncultured eukaryote
Lineage: Eukaryota
Description: partial 18S ribosomal RNA
Rfam family: Eukaryotic small subunit ribosomal RNA
Source: RNAcentral
CCCUUAGAUGUUCUGGGCCGCACGCGCGCUACACUGAUGAAUGCAACGAGCUUAUAACCUUGGCCGAAAGGUCUGGGUAAUCUCCAAAUUUCGUCGUGAUGGGGAUAGAUUAUUGCAAUUAUUAAUCUUCAACGAGGAAUGCCUAGUAAGCGCAAGUCAUCAGCUUGCGUUGAUUACGUCCCUGCCCUUUGUACACACCGCCCGUCGCUCCUACCGAUUGAAUGGUCCGGUGAAGCGCUCGGACCGCGGCCUCUUGACGGUUCGCUGUCGAUUGGCUGUGGGAAGUUCGUUAAACCUUAUCAUUUAGAGGAAGGAGAAGUCGUAACA